UCACCUAGUUUGUGUAUAUUACGUAGGUGGAAGCACGGGUUUUUUUGCAGAUAAAAUCAAGGUUCUGAAAGAACCAGGUUAAGACAACUCUGAGUUGAUCACGAAGGCGGUGACACAGAAAUUGAGUUCAGCGGCUACGAACUUCAUAUGAAAGGCAACGUAACAAAAACAAAAUUCCGAAUUUUCCU
Molecule: long non-coding RNA, 188 nt
Organism: Bradysia coprophila
Lineage: Eukaryota; Metazoa; Arthropoda; Insecta; Diptera; Sciaridae
Source: RefSeq, a predicted model, not a curated record